CACCUAUUUUACACUUAACGUCACACCACACCACACGACCUACACACGCUCCCUGGCGAUCUUCGACCCCAAUAGACCCUAGCUGCCCUUCGAAGGUAAGUGCAAUUUCCUUCUUAAUUUUCAACCCCUUUUUUGUAUUUGCUUGCUCACGCCGCAUAUCCUGAUCGCCAUAGGUAUUCCGUACCCGACCCUAGGCAGUCCGCCGGGAGGUCGCUGUUGGGCCCCGAUCCCCGAGGCUUGCGAGGGCUGGCGGGGGUCGUAACAUUUUGGUAGCAGAGCGUGGUUGCCGUAACAUUUUGGUAGCAGAGCGUGGUUCCCACGCCUUGAGCUGCGUGAGUUUAACUGAUAGGGGUUAUAUUUGUUUAGGGUUUAGGUAUUUGUAUUUUGAGUAGCUUCGGGUAGGUCUAGCCUGUGUGGCACAUCCCUAUAUAUAUUUUUUU
This 440-nucleotide unclassified non-coding RNA is filed under the name Melitaea cinxia (Glanville fritillary). RNAcentral describes it as "misc RNA ENSMCXG00005011622.1". Lineage: Eukaryota; Metazoa; Arthropoda; Insecta; Lepidoptera; Nymphalidae. The record is from RNAcentral.